AGAGUUUGAUCAUGGCUCAGGACGAACGCUGGCGGCGUGCUUAACACAUGCAAGUCGAGCGGGGUCCAACUUGUCGCAAGACAAGGGAAGACCUAGCGGCGAACGGGUGAGUAACACGUGAGCAACCUGCCCCGAAGACUGGGAUAACACCGGGAAACCGGUGCUAAUACCGGAUGCCCUCAGAGAGUCGCAUGGCUCAUUGAGGAAAUGGAUUCCGCUUCGGGAGGGGCUCGCGGCCUAUCAGCUUGUUGGUGGGGUAACGGCCUACCAAGGCUCCGACGGGUAGCUGGUCUGAGAGGACGACCAGCCACACUGGGACUGAGACACGGCCCAGACUCCUACGGGAGGCAGCAGUGGGGAAUCUUGCGCAAUGGGCGAAAGCCUGACGCAGCAACGCCGCGUGGGGGACGAAGGCCUUCGGGUCGUAAACCCCUUUCAGCAGGGACGAAAAUGACGGUACCUGCAGAAGAAGCCCCGGCCAACUACGUGCCAGCAGCCGCGGUAAUACGUAGGGGGCGAGCGUUGUCCGGAUUUAUUGGGCGUAAAGAGCUCGUAGGCGGUUUGGCAAGUUGGGUGUGAAAACUCCGGGCUCAACUCGGAGACGCCACUCAAUACUGUCAUGACUCGAGUCCGGUAGGGGAGUGCGGAAUUCCUGGUGUAGCGGUGAAAUGCGCAGAUAUCAGGAGGAACACCGGUGGCGAAGGCGGCACUCUGGGCCGGUACUGACGCUGAGGAGCGAAAGCGUGGGGAGCGAACAGGAUUAGAUACCCUAGUAGUCC
Molecule: ribosomal RNA, 779 nt
Filed under: uncultured bacterium
Lineage: Bacteria
Description: bacterial SSU rRNA
Rfam family: Bacterial small subunit ribosomal RNA
Source: RNAcentral